UUGCUUAUAUCACGCAAGUGAUGAGACCAAAAUCACUUGCACAACCAACUAUCAAGUUCGAAUUUAGCUAACACUUAGGAAAUCUUAGACUCAAUUAUAAUUCUAACAAGUAUCAUAUAAGGAAUUUUAACAGUCCAAACAGUUCUUCAUAUUUGUUCAACCCUUAAGAAACCCAGAACCAAAUUGCAACUACUAACAAUUAUAUCGUUAAUCUAGCAGUUCAAUAGUCCCAGAUUUUGUUUACAUUCAUAGAACUUAACCAAAUCAAAGAACCUACUCAAAACAUAAGAAUAAUAGACAACAAUUUUAACAAAAUUGCAGCUGAUUUCAUUUCAAUUAUCAACUGGACUUCUACAUUUGUAUCAGGCUUGGUAAAUGUACCUGGAAAUUGUAAAUAGGAAAUGCAAGUGAGACCAGUAGCAAUAGAGGGGAAAGCAAUAUAUCACAGCCAUGGUGAAGCCAUCUAAGCCCAGCAGAAUACCAGUAAGAGAUACAAUCAAUGAAGCAAACACUCCAUUUGUUCCAACAAAAACCCCAGGACUCAAUCUAAUAGCAACUCUUAAACUUUUAUCUGAGCAGGAAGCUAUUGGAAAUAAAUCAAUGGAACAAUAGUAAUUUGAUCGGAUGUAUACAUGCUUAAUUCUGGCAAUCCAGCC
Molecule: long non-coding RNA, 656 nt
Filed under: Nicotiana benthamiana
Lineage: Eukaryota; Viridiplantae; Streptophyta; Magnoliopsida; Solanales; Solanaceae
Description: long non-coding RNA (NBEN_LNC040591)
Source: RNAcentral